UACGUAGGGGGCAAGCGUUGUCCGGAAUCAUUGGGCGUAAAGCGCGUGUAGGCGGUUCGGUAAGUCCGCUGUGAAAGUCGGGGGCUCAACCCUCGGAUGCCGGUGGAUACUGUCAAGCUUGAGUACGGAAGAGGCGAGUGGAAUUCCUGGUGUAGCGGUGAAAUGCGCAGAUAUCAGGAGGAACACCAAUUGCGAAGGCAGCUCGCUGGGACGUUACUGACGCUGAGACGCGAAAGCGUGGGGAGCAAACAGG
Molecule: ribosomal RNA, 253 nt
Filed under: uncultured bacterium
Lineage: Bacteria
Description: partial 16S ribosomal RNA
Rfam family: Bacterial small subunit ribosomal RNA
Source: RNAcentral